Molecule: small nucleolar RNA, 200 nt
Filed under: Lachancea mirantina
Lineage: Eukaryota; Fungi; Ascomycota; Saccharomycetes; Saccharomycetales; Saccharomycetaceae
Source: RNAcentral
CUGCCCUCUGCCUUGCUCGGUGGUACUCUUUCAAUGAUACCAUCUUGAGCUGGAUAUUCAAGUUCACUGCUCUUGCUCUGCUCCUGCAGCGAAAUUGAAUAAUGGGCUAAAUUAAAUUCCUAGACUUCUUUUGAGUACGACUCUAUUAACAGGAUCAACCUGUCCAUAAUAAAGCAUCGUAAUUAGAACGUCUCAAAUCU